AUUUAAAAUAUUAUUAAUUAUUUAGUUUUUAUUAAUUUAAUUAAAAUAUUAAUUUUUUUAUUAUUAAAAGAAAAAUUUUUAUUAAUUAUAGAAUAAUAGUACUGUGAAGGAAAUAUAUUUAAAUUUUGAAAAGAAAUAAAGUUAUGUACCUUGUGCAUCAGGGUUUAUUAAUUAAAAAAUAUUAAUAUUUAUUUUUCUCGAAUUUAAAAGGGCUAAAUUAUUAUAUAUUUUAUUGUAUCAUAAAUAUUUAUAAUAAUAAUUUAGUAAUGAAAUGUUAUUCGUUUUUAAAUAUAUCUAGUUUUUUAAGAAAAAAAUUUAAUUUUAUUAAUAAAUUUAAAUUAUUUAAUUUAUAAUUUUUUUAAUUUAUUAUUUAAUAUUUUAAGGGAUAAGCUUUAAAAUAAAAUUUUAUAACUAAAAAGAAUAAUUAUAAUUUAUAGAAUUAAAAAUUUUUAUUAUUUAAAAUUUAUUAAAAUUUGUUAUUGUUAUUAUAUUAUUUUUAUUUAGUUUAAUUAUUUUAUUAAAAUAAAAUUUUUAAUUUAAAAUAUUUUGCGAUAAUGAUAAAAUUAGUAUUUUAUAUAAAUAUUUAAAUUUAAUUUAUAUUAGAAAGGUUAAAUAAAGUAAUUCGGCAAAUAAGUUUUUCACCUGUUUAUUAAAAACAUCUCUUUUUGAAUAUAAUUUAAAGUAGGGCCUGCCCACUGAAUUAUUGAAGGGCCGCAGUAUUUUGACUGUGCAAAGGUAGCAUAAUCAUUAGUUUUUUAAUUGAAAACUUGUAUGAAUGGUUUGAUGAGAAAACAGCUUUCUUUAUUUAAAUGUUAAAGAAUUUUAUUUUUAAGUUAAAAAGCUUAAAUAUUUUUAAUAGACGAGAAGACCCUAUAGAGUUUUAUUUUUUUAUAUAAUUAAAUCUUUAGAAUUUUAAAAUUUUAUUAUAUGAAAAAAUUUGAUUGGGGUGAUUGAAAAAUUAAAUUAACUUUUAUUUUUAUUAAACAUUAAUUUAUGAAUAGAUGAUCCAUUUAAGUGAUUAAAAGAAUAAAUUACCUUAGGGAUAACAGCGUUAUUUUUUUUUAGAGUUCAAAUCGAAAAAAGAGAUUGCGACCUCGAUGUUGGAUUAAAGUUAAUAUUAGGAGUAGAAGCUUAAUAAUUUGGUCUGUUCGACCAUUAAAACUUUACAUGAUCUGAGUUUAAACCGGUGUGAGCCAGGUUGGUUUCUAUCUUUAUAUAGUUAAUAAAUUUUAGUACGAAAGGACCAUAUUUAUAAUUAAAAAUUUUCUUGAAGAAUAAAAUU
This 1282-nucleotide ribosomal RNA is filed under the name Hippodamia convergens (convergent lady beetle). RNAcentral describes it as "16S ribosomal RNA". The stretch from base 1042 to 1200 matches the Rfam family "Archaeal large subunit ribosomal RNA", at positions 2542 to 2701 of the family's 2987-position model. Lineage: Eukaryota; Metazoa; Arthropoda; Insecta; Coleoptera; Coccinellidae. The record is from RNAcentral.